Molecule: microRNA precursor, 99 nt
Filed under: Anolis carolinensis (green anole)
Lineage: Eukaryota; Metazoa; Chordata; Lepidosauria; Squamata; Anolidae
Description: microRNA aca-mir-92a precursor (aca-mir-92a-2)
Gene: aca-mir-92a-2
Rfam family: mir-92 microRNA precursor family (bases 11-92)
About the family: This family represents the microRNA precursor mir-92. Human miR-92 has two predicted hairpin precursor sequences: mir-92-1 on chromosome 13 and mir-92-2 on chromosome X. miR-92 has also been cloned from mouse embryonic stem cells. The mature sequence is excised from the 3' arm of the hairpin.
Source: miRBase by way of RNAcentral
GGAGGAACUGACUUCUCCCUGGGUUGGGAUUUGUUGCAUUACUUGUGGGUUCCCUGAACAGUAUUGCACUUGUCCCGGCCUGUGGAGGAGGAGCGGAGA